RNAcentral lists this ribosomal RNA (513 nucleotides) under uncultured bacterium. RNAcentral's name for it is "bacterial SSU rRNA". It matches the Rfam family "Bacterial small subunit ribosomal RNA", at positions 10 to 518 of the family's 1533-position model. The record is from RNAcentral.
AGUUGAUCCUGGCUUAGGAUGAACGCUAGCGGCAGGCUUAACACAUGCAAGUCGAGGGGCAGCGCGAGUAGCAAUACUUGGCGGCGACCGGCGCAAGGGUGCGUAACGCGUGAGCAACAUGCCCGUAUCAGGGGGAUAAUCCAGGGAAACUUGGUCUAAUACCCCAUAGUAAUUUUGUAAGGCAUCUUAUAAGAUUUAAAGCUUUGGUGGAUACGGAUUGGCUCGCGUGACAUUAGCUGGAUGGUAAGGUAACGGCUUACCAUGGCUAUGAUGUCUAGGGGUUCUGAGAGGAAGGUCCCCCACACUGGAACUGAGACACGGUCCAGACUCCUACGGGAGGCAGCAGUGAGGAAUAUUGGACAAUGGAUGGAAAUCUGAUCCAGCCAUGCCGCGUGAAAGGAAGAAGGUCCUAUGGAUUGUAAACUUCUUUUGUAUGGGAGCAAUAAGGCCUACGAGUAGGUUGAUGAGAGUACCAUACGAAUAAGCACCGGCUAACUCCGUGCCAGCCGCGGC